Molecule: ribosomal RNA, 253 nt
Filed under: uncultured bacterium
Lineage: Bacteria
Description: partial 16S ribosomal RNA
Rfam family: Bacterial small subunit ribosomal RNA
Source: RNAcentral
UACGAAGGGAGCGAGCGUUGUUGGGAAUUACUGGGCGUAAAGCGCACGUAGGCGGGCUAUUAAGUCAGGGGUGAACUCCCGGCGCUCAACCUCGGAAUUGCCUCUGAGACUGGCAGCCUUGAGUUCGGGAGAGGUUGGUGGAAUUCCUAGUGUAGAGGUGAAAUUCGUAGAUAUUAGGAAGAACACCAGUGGCGAAGGCAGCCAACUGGGCCGUCACUGACGCUGAUGCGCGAAAGCGUGGGGAGCAAACAGG